UGUAGUCUGCAACCCGACUACAUGAAGCUGGAAUCGCUAGUAAUCGCGGAUCAGAAUGCCGCGGUGAAUACGUUCCCGGGUCUUGUACACACCGCCCGUCACACCAUGGGAGUCGGAAAUGCCCGAAGUCUGUGACCCAACCUACGGGAGGGAGCAGCCGAAGGCAGGUCGGAUGACUGGGGUGAAGUCGUAACAAGGUAUC
This 202-nucleotide ribosomal RNA is filed under the name uncultured bacterium. Its description in RNAcentral is "partial 16S ribosomal RNA". It matches the Rfam family "Bacterial small subunit ribosomal RNA", at positions 1299 to 1500 of the family's 1533-position model. The record is from RNAcentral.